RNA transcript from Daucus carota subsp. sativus, 1457 nucleotides. RefSeq lists it as uncharacterized. The transcript is spliced from 4 exons. The record is from RefSeq and is a predicted model, not a curated record. Lineage: Eukaryota; Viridiplantae; Streptophyta; Magnoliopsida; Apiales; Apiaceae.
AAAAUUGGAGAGCGGCAAAACUCCCGGUCUCAAUUCACACACCUCACAUUUCAGUCUCCACACACUCAGCUCACUCACCUCUUUUACACUCACCUCUCUUCUCAAACUCCCCUCACUCACCUCUCCGGCACUUUUGACGACAACUGAAUCGGGGUCUCUCUCAAUGGAUUUCACCUUUAUUAGGGCUUUUUUGUUUCGGAUCUUCAGUUGUGGGCUUCGAUUUAAAGCUUCUUAAUUCAUUCACUGAAAUUAGGGCUUGAGAUUUAUAGUUUCUUACAAUUUAUUUAAGAGAUUCGAAUUAUGAGUUUCACUUUAACGUUGUUAAUUUAGUGUCUCUGUUUGUUUCAAGGCUUCAAUCAGAUUGGGCUCCAAUCCAAUCAGGACUUCCAUCAAAUUAGGGCUUUUCACUUUAAUGGGGGCUUCAAAUUGCUUGGAUUGUGAUUUAAGAUACACUCCUCUCUCAUAUAUUUGCUUGUAAGUAUGUAUCUUUGUUCUCUAAAAUCUAUGUUUGAUUUUAAAUAUAUGUGAUUCUGUGUAUAUGAGUUUUGGUUUGUUCUAUGUUGUCUUUGUCUAUCUCUCUCAUUCUCUUCCCCUCCCUCUCCUACUCUGUCUCCCCCUCUCUCUUACACACACAUUUAAUUUACUAUUUUACUUGCUAAUAUACACACACACACUCUACUACUCUGUUUCUCUUGUACAGAUUCUAUUAUGUGUAUUAUGUAUAUUUGUUAUUUUUAUUAUAUUGAUACUAAAAUAAUCUCAAGUGCUUGACAAGCUUGAUCGAUAAUAUGAGCUCUGCCAGACCUCAGUUUCCUACCAAAGAGUACAUGAAAACACAGAUCAAACUAUCUGACCCUAUACACUAAUACACCAGUUAUCACUGGAGAAAUCGGUGCGCGAAAAUCUUCAAACCCGUGCUUCCCUUCACGGGGAGUCAUUUAAUUUCUCCAUUGGUAAAAUGCAUCCUGCAACUUUUGCUCAUCAUAUUUACUAUCUUUCAGGAAAGACUUUAUGUUAUUCUAAAAUAGGGAGAACAGUCAAACAACUGUUAUUGGUUGUCCUGGCGAACCAAUCUAGACAGGCUACAACACCAAAUUUGGAACAGAAGCUUGAAAAAUUAGCUCCUGCAGAUGCUGUUGCUGGUUUGAUUGCUCCCUAUUUUGUGGAAAGGGAAAGCCUAAGCCGUUAAUGGAUCAACCUAACAGAGUCAAAGACUUGACUGUUCCAGAAUUUGGAACUCUCCAAGCUUGGGAAGUGCGAGCAAAAUGCAAGAAUAUGUUUAUUUAUAUAAUAGUGUAGUGUACUGUGAUGUUUGGUUGGAUUUGUUUAAUACUUUGAUUUGGUUGGAUUUGUUAGGUAGUUUGGUUUGGUUGGAUUUGUUAUAAACUUUGAUUUGUAUGAAAGAAUAGUUUAAUGUUGCAGUUGAUAUAGUAAAAUAUUGCAAAAUUGUUAUUUGA